This 253-nucleotide ribosomal RNA is filed under the name uncultured bacterium. Its description in RNAcentral is "partial 16S ribosomal RNA". It matches the Rfam family "Bacterial small subunit ribosomal RNA", at positions 524 to 776 of the family's 1533-position model. The record is from RNAcentral.
UACGGAGGAUCCAAGCGUUAUCCGGAAUCAUUGGGUUUAAAGGGUCCGUAGGCGGUUUAAUAAGUCAGUGGUGAAAGCCCAUCGCUCAACUGAGGAACUGCCUUUGAAACUGUCUGGCUUGAGGCCGGGAGAGGGUAGCGGAAUUCCCAGUGUAGCGGUGAAAUGCGUAGAUAUUGGGAGGAACACCAGUGGCGAAGGCGGCUACCUGGACCGGUUCUGACGCUGAGGCGCGAAAGCGUGGGUAGCAAACAGG